CGAGAAGCUUCGGCAAUGGACGAAAGUCUGACCGAGCGACGCCGCGUGAGCGAUGAAGGCCCCAGUGGUCGUAAAGCUCUGUCAGGAGGGAAUAAAUACCUGCGGCGAAUAACCGCAGGGGCUGAAGGUACCUCCAGAGGAAGCGCCGGCUAACUACGUGCCAGCAGCCGCGGUAAUACGUAGGGCGCAAACGUUGUUCGGAUUUACUGGGUAUAAAGGGUUCGUAGGCGGGCUGGUAAGUCAGAGGUGAAAGCCAACGGCUCAACCGUUGAAUUGCCUCUGAUACUGUCAGCCUUGAGUCCGUUAGGGGAUGGUGGAAUUCCUGGUGUAGCGGUGAUAUGCGUAAAUAUCAGGAGGAACACCGGUGGCGAAGGCGGCCAUCUGGGACGGUACUGACGCUGAGGAACGAAAGCAUGGGUAUCAAACGGGAUUAGAUACCCGGGUAGUC
Molecule: ribosomal RNA, 448 nt
Filed under: uncultured bacterium
Lineage: Bacteria
Description: partial 16S ribosomal RNA
Rfam family: Bacterial small subunit ribosomal RNA
Source: RNAcentral